UUUCAUAUUGGGCAAAGCAGUUGAAAAGCUGUGACGCAAAGCUAGAGGGCCUUUCUUAUAGAAUGGCAGCCAGUUGCAUAA
Molecule: regulatory RNA element, 81 nt
Organism: Clostridium butyricum
Lineage: Bacteria; Bacillati; Bacillota; Clostridia; Eubacteriales; Clostridiaceae
Rfam family: c-di-GMP-I riboswitch aptamer
About the family: GEMM was predicted in a large-scale screen for bacterial structured RNA regulatory elements. Genes associated with GEMM are involved in a diverse array of functions, including chemotaxis regulation, signal transduction, secretion and chitin.
Source: Rfam